UACGAAGGUGGCGAGCGUUGUUCGGAAUCACUGGGCCUAAAGCGCACGUAGGCGGCGACGUAAGUUGGGUGUGAAAUCCCUCGGCCCAACCGAGGAACUGCGCCCAGUACUGCGUUGCUUGAGGAUCCAAGGGGUGCAUGGAAUUCCCGGUGGAGCGGUGAAAUGCGUUGAUAUCGGGAGGAACUCCGGCGGCGAAAGCGGUGCACUGGUGGAUUACUGACGCUGAGGUGCGAAAGCCAGGGGAGCAAACGGG
This 253-nucleotide ribosomal RNA is filed under the name uncultured bacterium. RNAcentral describes it as "partial 16S ribosomal RNA". It matches the Rfam family "Bacterial small subunit ribosomal RNA", at positions 524 to 776 of the family's 1533-position model. The record is from RNAcentral.